This 249-nucleotide long non-coding RNA is filed under the name Anas platyrhynchos platyrhynchos (common mallard). RNAcentral describes it as "lncRNA (ENSAPLG00000020173.1)". The record is from RNAcentral. Lineage: Eukaryota; Metazoa; Chordata; Aves; Anseriformes; Anatidae.
GAAGAAAAUAAGGUGUUUUCCUCAGCAAGCAGAUUAUUUUUUUAAGUAGUUUAAUUCUUUUACAAAUAGUGGCUUCAUCAAGAUGACAUUGGAGGAAAGAAGAGCUUCAGGAAGGAUGAGGAAAAGAAAAAGCUUUGUAUUUCAAGAGAAGCUGCUGUUUUAAGACACUCAGAGGGAAAGAGAGGCCAAAGUCGAGAUGAAGGGCUCCCUCAUGACCAGAGUCAUGUGACAUUAGAAGAUGCUGCAUGA